GAAGUAUGAAUUUUCUAAACGAUCAGAUAGUGUUGUCUAUAAAAGGUCCAAAAAUAUGAUGAAGUUUAUUCUUACGUGUGUUGAUACCAUAGCAGUUGGAUUCUAAAGGAUUCAAGAAAGACAAUGAUUUUAAGCUGUAAAUACAAUUUCAUAAGUGUGAAAUUUUUUAAUGUAAAAUGGUGGCACAACUACGAUAAGUGAGUUGGCUAGCUUUCACCUGGUAAAAAAUUAGUCCUUUUUUCUUUCUGUUUCAACCAGUUUCUAAGUUGUCAGUAUUAUGAUAUGCCAUUUUUAUUUUUCAGGUAUUUAAUAGAUGUGAUGAUCUGAUUAGAUAGACAACUAUUAUACUUGCUAUAAUUACCUUUGCUUGAAGAUCUCAUUAUAAGAUAAAUAAAUAUUUGCAGCAAGAUUUUUGCACUACAAAUGUUCUGCUAUAUAAAAUACAAUACUCAUCUUUAUAAAAAAUAGAAUAUAAUAGUCACUCAAGAAGCAGGUAAGCUUGACUUUUCGAUACAUGUGGUCGCAUUAGGCGUUCUAUGCAGGUCUUGCAAAUGAAGUCAGCACUUUUAAUUAUUUGCAGUUUGAAUUAGCACUUCCAACAGAUGUAUGUUCUCUAAGGUUAUUGCUAAAUCUUUUACCAUUACUCUAAUUCCUCUUUAUAGAUAAUUUUGGAUGCUGAAACUUAAAAUAUAGUACGUGAGAGGCAUCGUCCUGCAACUCAAGAACUUAAUGUAGUAAUGUCUUCAUCACAGAAGCUUAUUGGUUAACUAAAUACUUGCACAUCCUUUGUAAAAUAAGAUAGUUGCACCCUAUUCUAUCGUCAAUUGCAAAUCCAAAGAUAUCAAAUCUCACCUACUAAAAUAUUUGAAAAAUUCAUUCUACUCUGUCCAACAUUUGUGUCCAAAAAUUUAUUCUACUCUGUCCAUUAAUAUGGUCUAUUUACAAGUAAAGAUCUUUAAAUGAGAGGAAGGAGUGCUCAGAUUUCUCAAGGAGAUACAACGAUCCUGAAUGAUAACACAAAAAUCAUGCAAAAUAUUUGACUAUGCUGAUUAUGAGAUGGUAACCUAUUCUAUCUGGUUCAUCUUUACCUAUCAUGUGGUUUCUAAAUCAGUAUGUUAUUCAUGAAGUAGGGAUCAUUGAUUCUUUUAGUUGCUGGAGUUGCCCUCUCCUAUGCUGCAGCUUGGAAAUUGAAUUCUUUUUUCUGACUGACGAGAAAACUCUUCGAGGUCCAUGAUUUUCUGCUUGAUUUUCGCAAUACAUAUUUUUCUAAGUGUAGUAGUAAUUGGCCAAUGUAUUCUGCGUAAUGGGUUGGGAAAAAAGGAAGGUUUUUGCAUAUAAUCUCCUUUGUCACUCUACUAAUUUAGGAUUUAGGAUUUAGGCUGGCUAUUUCUACAAGUAUGUGACUUCUUGUUAUGUGUGUUGUAGUUUUUUCUCCUCAAAUAAUCUGUGUAACUGUAUGUCUUGGAGUUUUUCCUGCCACGUUUAAAAUUUAUUUGGUUAACAGUAUAGUAAGCCUAUAAGAUGUGCUUGUAAGCCACAUUUCUUUUGCUUUGCUUGGAGCAGUGAGGUUAUGACUCUUUCUGUUGAUGACCUUUGUUAAUGGAGUCUCUGUAAAAGUUAACCCUUUUCUUCUUUCUUUUUUUUUUUGAAAAGGUAACCCUUUUGUUCUUUCGUGGAACUUCCAUACUUAUGUAGAAUUUUGGAUGUCAUAAUCCUGUGUGAAUUUGAAAAUCUUCUUAUAAAUGAGCGCAUGUGUGUGCAGUGUAUAUUAGCUCUGACUCCCUGAAUCAUUGUAUUAUCAGUAGAUAGAUCAUUGUUCUUUUCACUAUUGAAAAUGCACAGGCUAAAGUGUAUCUUUGGGAAUUUAUUUCUAUUAAUGUUCAAGGGGUAGUAUAUUUAGCCUUCUGAAUAAAUGUUCAAUUGGAAUGCUUUAAAUUCUUUCUGUUGCCUUAUAGAUUAUUUGUGGCUGGCUUUCCUUUUCCUUCCCUUCACUUUUUCCCCCUUCAUUUUUCCAGUUUUAUUUGGUGGUUUUGUGUACUUCCACGCUAUAUUGAUUCAAUCCUUUAAAAAGUAGAUGAUAAUUCAAUUGCUCUCACUUUAAUAAUGUAGGUUGUAGAUCUGGUACUAAAGUUUAUGCGCAUAAUCCUUUCUUGGUUCAUAAUUCAUUUUUCAUUUUACAAAUUAUUCUCUAUGCACCUGUAAUUGAUUCAUUUUUAUUCCUAUUACUCUUUUGAAUGCAGUGCCCUCCAGAUCUUUAACUUGUGAAAUGUAAUCGGAUUAUCCAAGGAUAAUUUUUCUCCAAAAUCCAUUACUUCUUCGGUGACUAUCCAGAUUUAACGCGUUGAAGGGCUUUCCCACUUAACAUCUAUUUAUUGUAGUUCUAAUGUAUGUUAGUUUUCCCUCAAGCAUGGACAUACGUAUAGUUGGCUAUUCUUAAUAUUACAUAUGGAUGAAUAUGCUUUUGUAUAUGUAUUUUGUGGAGGGAAGUGGUGGACUGAGUGAUGGACACUUGUAAAUGGUGACUGCGAAUAGAUUUUACAGUCAUAAAAGUAUAUUAUAGUGUUGCAGUAGAUGUUGGAUAAUCAAAGUCAAUAAUUUGUUGGACUUGAUUGUAAUUUUAUCCAAGCACUAUGGUUGUGAUCUUUUUUCACUUAUAUGUUGUAGAGCUUUGCUCAUCGUAUAUAGUAUGAAACUUUAACAUGUUGGUUGAAAAUAUGUUUUUGCUUGGCUUUUGUAACCUUUUAGCUUGUGCGAAUAAAACAGACAAUAUGUCGGGC
This 2777-nucleotide long non-coding RNA is filed under the name Nicotiana tabacum (common tobacco). Its description in RNAcentral is "long non-coding RNA (NTAB_LNC003337)". The record is from RNAcentral. Lineage: Eukaryota; Viridiplantae; Streptophyta; Magnoliopsida; Solanales; Solanaceae.